GUGAGACAGCAAGCUGCCAGAUCUGGGACUCGAACCAUAUUCGGCCAUGUGGCCUUUGCCACCAGCAGCCCCCACAGCUACUGUACAUUUAAUGGAAGAAGAAAUACAAGCUUCGAUUUUAUGUUACAAAAGGAGCCAAUAGCAGAACUAAAAGUAAGGUAAUGACUCAGCGAAGUGAUUAGACACCGAGGGCAGAAGCCGGCUGGGCAGACAUGGAAGUUGUCUCUUGUUUUCAGCAAGGGAUCAGUGGACACAUUGUCCAAAAGUUGACAAAUUAAUAAAUACCAAUCCAAGAAUUUGCUUUAACAAUGCAAAAAAUGGAAGCACCAGAAUAUCACAUUACUUUGAGCAUAACUGAAAAAGAAUUUAAUUACAAAAAUGUAAUUUGCUGCUGGAGGCCGGUGGUGAUUUUUAAAGGCCUGCUGUUUUUUACACAAAGCCCUGUCCACCUUUAUGUUUUGCUUUGCUCUUUUAUUUUCCUAUGUUCCUGGGACAUUAAAACGAACAUUUAUUUCUAAAGUAGAUUUGUAGUAUUUCAGUCUUGAAAAAUGUGAAGAAAGUAGACGCCGUCUGCAGCUGAAGGCACAGGAUACAGUUAGAAAUACUACUGAAUCUUGCACAAGUAACUUAGAAAACAAGAAUUUAAACGGAGAGGAGCGGCCGCCCCUAAACUCGGAAUGUGCCCAAGUUGCUAAAUCAAGAAACGGCCCUCCACGACUUCUGAUUCACAGAUUUUGGGAACACGCUGCCCGCCAGAAGAAAGAGAAUCCUCCCACGAUAAAAAGUGGCCUGGCCUUUCCGGCUGUGGUGAACACAUGUUGGUCUGGAUCUUUCAGAAAGUGUCCUACGAGAGAAGAACUCAAGCAAGAAUCAGCCAGUUGCAUCCCCACAUGAGUUGGCUGGAGCCUGAGAUGAACCACAUGGCAGUGAAUCAAUCACUCAGGCAUAGUUGAUGAUGCUCCAGGAAACAACUCUGGAACACAUGGAGCCCUCCCACGCGGGUCACUCUUGCAGUCACAAUAUGGAUUAUUGUCCAGCUGGUGACAAUCCAUCACCUUAUCACACAGCAAUGCCAGGUGAGUGACAUGUCCUGACUCUGUGGGGAGAGGAUGAGGGAAGCUCUGCAUUGGUCAUUCCCCCUGGAUGCUGCCCUAUGUGCUUCUUCUCUUGGCUGAUUUUACUCCAUGUCUCUUCCUUGUAUAAAGGUAAUUGUGUAAUAGCUUUCUGUGAGUUGUUCCAAAAUGGCUGGCAGAGUCCCCCUGAUUUGCAGCUGGUAUCAGAAGUGGGGAGCCCUAGAACUGUGCCUCUUAGCUUUUAGUUCGUUUAAUACUUUUGGCAAACAUUGAUUCCUAGCUCUCACUUUCGGACACUUGGAUUUCAUUGGUAUGGAGUGUGGCCUGGGCAUUUGUUUUAAAAGCGCCCUGGGGGAAGGGGCAGUGCCAGCAGGUGGUGCGGGGGUUAAGGUGCUGGAUUUUCACAUGG
Long non-coding RNA from Tupaia belangeri chinensis (Chinese tree shrew), 1482 nucleotides. RefSeq lists it as uncharacterized. The record is from RefSeq and is a predicted model, not a curated record. NCBI's taxonomy places the organism in Eukaryota, Metazoa, Chordata, Mammalia, Scandentia, Tupaiidae. The transcript has 3 exons.